GGGAGCCGGAGGGAAACCGAGUCUUAAUUGGGCGUUAAGUUGCAGGGUAUAGACCCGAAACCCGGUGAUCUAGCCAUGGGCAGGUUGAAGGUUGGGUAACACUAACUGGAGGACCGAACCGACUAAUGUUGAAAAAUUAGCGGAUGACCUGUGGCUGGGGGUGAAAGGCCAAUCAAACCGGGAGAUAGCUGGUUCUCCCCGAAAGCUAUUUAGGUAGCGCCUCGUGAAUUCAUCUCCGGGGGUAGAGCACUGUUUCGGCUAGGGGGCCAUCCCGGCUUACCAACCCGAUGCAAACUGCGAAUACCGGAGAAUGUUAUCACGGGAGACACACGGCGGGUGCUAACGUCCGUCGUGAAGAGGGAAACAACCCAGACCGCCAGCUAAGGUCCCAAAGUCAUGGUUAAGUGGGAAACGAUGUGGGAAGGCCCAGACAGCCAGGAUGUUGGCUUAGAAGCAGCCAUCAUUUAAAGAAAGCGUAAUAGCUCACUGGUCGAGUCGGCCUGCGCGGAAGAUGUAACGGGGCUAAACCAUGCACCGAAGCUGCGGCAGCGACGCUUAUGCGUUGUUGGGUAGGGGAGCGUUCUGUAAGCCUGUGAAGGUGGCCUGUGAGGGUUG
Molecule: ribosomal RNA, 615 nt
Filed under: Salmonella enterica
Lineage: Bacteria; Pseudomonadati; Pseudomonadota; Gammaproteobacteria; Enterobacterales; Enterobacteriaceae
Description: partial 23S ribosomal RNA
Rfam family: Bacterial large subunit ribosomal RNA
Source: RNAcentral